GACGGGCUAUAUGCGGCCUGCUUUAGCCCACCUGGCGAAAUUAUUGCAAUCUGGGCUCAGAUAUAGACCAGCGACCUAGAAUAUUAGUCUUUGAAAUGUUUUCGCUUACACAGCUUAAUAUAUAUUUUCUGUCAAACAUUCAUACACAAUCUACGAUAAAAAAUAUCUAAUCAAAUGCAAUUGCAUUUCCCAACCGCUAGAUGGCACAAUUGAAACACUACUGAGACAUGUCUACUGGAACUAAUGCCAUUGCGUGACUAGAUCACUUUAGCCAAAUCUCGCGAUAAACAUUUCCGCCAUUUUAUUUUACACGAGGCAGCUGUCGGAGUGCAACGGGUGAGCAACAGUCUGAGUGAAAACCUUCACAUUUCUACUUCGAUCUUAAGAAAGCCAUACAGGUUUGGAACCAAGUGAAAACGCAGUGAUGACCAGCUUUCCAUCAGCUAUGGAAUGUGAAAUAAAAAAUGCUAUUUCUAAUCAUUUCAAACAAGCACCAGGGAGGGCAGGGGGUGGGGGUUAUGGAUCUAAAGUAAACAGUUAAUUCUUAAAAAUUAAUUGUUUUACAUAUUUUUCCAAUGUUUUAUUUGUUCAUUUUUAUGUUUGAAUGUUGUCCAAGUUGUUGUUGUCUAUAUAAUUGUUCAAAAUAAAUCCCUUUAUAUUCAAUUAGUUUGGAUGGAUUUUAAUUUAUGAGAACCUGUUAUAUUUGAGUGAAAAGAAUCCUUAUGCCUCUUUUUGUUGUCUAUUACAUGUAUAUGUAGUGUAAUGGAUGACUAGUCUAUUCUUGGGCUAUGGUUAGACGUCUAUUAGAUUUUCACUGACAGCCCAAAAUCAGCCUUGUUUUAGCCUAGACCCAUAUUGCCUGUCUAUUAGACGUGUGUAGUUGUUUAGCGG
This is a long non-coding RNA of Carassius auratus (goldfish), 891 nucleotides long. RefSeq lists it as uncharacterized. The record is from RefSeq and is a predicted model, not a curated record. The transcript is spliced from 3 exons. Lineage: Eukaryota; Metazoa; Chordata; Actinopteri; Cypriniformes; Cyprinidae.